This 497-nucleotide ribosomal RNA is filed under the name uncultured bacterium. RNAcentral describes it as "partial 16S ribosomal RNA". It matches the Rfam family "Bacterial small subunit ribosomal RNA", at positions 28 to 507 of the family's 1533-position model. The record is from RNAcentral.
GGCGAACGCUGGCGGCGUGCCUAAUACAUGCAAGUCGAGCGGACAGACGGGAGCUUGCUCCCUGAUGUUAGCGGCGGACGGGUGAGUAACACGUGGGUAACCUGCCUGUAAGACUGGGAUAACUCCGGGAAACCGGGGCUAAUACCGGAUGGUUGUCUGAACCGCAUGGUUCAGACAUAAAAGGUGGCUUCGGCUACCACUUACAGAUGGACCCGCGGCGCAUUAGCUAGUUGGUGAGGUAACGGCUCACCAAGGCAACGAUGCGUAGCCGACCUGAGAGGGUGAUCGGCCACACUGGGACUGAGACACGGCCCAGACUCCUACGGGAGGCAGCAGUAGGGAAUCUUCCGCAAUGGACGAAAGUCUGACGGAGCAACGCCGCGUGAGUGAUGAAGGUUUUCGGAUCGUAAAGCUCUGUUGUUAGGGAAGAACAAGUGCCGUUCAAAUAGGGCGGCACCUUGACGGUACCUAACCAGAAAGCCACGGCUAACUACGUG